CGACGUAUCUUUCAAGUGUCUGCCUUAUCAACUUUCGAUGGUAGGUUAUGCGCCUACCAUGGUUGUAACGGGUAACGGGGAAUUAGGGUUCGAUUCCGGAGAGGGAGCCUGAGAAACGGCUACCACAUCCAAGGAAGGCAGCAGGCGCGCAAAUUACCCACUCCCAGCACGGGGAGGUAGUGACGAAAAAUAACGAUGCUAAACUCAUACGAGGCUUAGCAAUCGGAAUGAGUACACUUUAAAUCCUUUAACGAGGAUCUAUUGGAGGGCAAGUCUGGUGCCAGCAGCCGCGGUAAUUCCAGCUCCAAUAGCGUAUACUAAUAUUGCUGUUGUUAAAAAGCUCGUAGUUGGAUCUCGGUUUCGGGCGGGUGGUGCGCCUUGCGGCGUUUACUGUCUGCCCGGACGAUUUUGUUGGUACGUUCAUGGUGCUCUUCAUCGGGUGCCUUGAGUGGCCAGCACGUUUACUUUGAAAAAAUUGGAGUGCUCAAAGCAGGCGCUACAGCCUGAACAAUUGUGCAUGGAAUAAUGGAAUAGGAUCUCGGUUCUAUUUCGUUGGCUUUCGGAGUCGAGGUAAUGAUUAAUAGGACAGACGG
RNAcentral lists this ribosomal RNA (593 nucleotides) under uncultured metazoan. RNAcentral's name for it is "SSU rRNA". It matches the Rfam family "Eukaryotic small subunit ribosomal RNA", at positions 288 to 884 of the family's 1831-position model. The record is from RNAcentral. Lineage: Eukaryota; Metazoa.